GGGUCCUUAGCCAAGCGGUAAGGCAAUGGAUUGCAAAUCCAUCAUCCCCGGUUCGAUUCCGGGAGGACCCUC
This 72-nucleotide transfer RNA is filed under the name Caulifigura coniformis. RNAcentral describes it as "Planctomycetes bacterium Pan44 tRNA-Cys". It matches the Rfam family "tRNA". Rfam says of the family: Transfer RNA (tRNA) molecules are approximately 80 nucleotides in length. Their secondary structure includes four short double-helical elements and three loops (D, anti-codon, and T loops). Lineage: Bacteria; Pseudomonadati; Planctomycetota; Planctomycetia; Planctomycetales; Planctomycetaceae. The record is from RNAcentral.